GUUAUUGUAGCUUACAUUACUAAAGCACAGCACUGAAAAUGCUGAAACGGUGAAUCACCCAUAUAACA
RNAcentral lists this transfer RNA (68 nucleotides) under Xenopeltis unicolor. RNAcentral's name for it is "tRNA-Phe". It matches the Rfam family "tRNA". From Rfam's summary of the family: Transfer RNA (tRNA) molecules are approximately 80 nucleotides in length. Their secondary structure includes four short double-helical elements and three loops (D, anti-codon, and T loops). Further hydrogen bonds mediate the characteristic L-shaped molecular structure. tRNAs have two regions of fundamental functional importance: the anti-codon, which is responsible for specific mRNA codon recognition, and the 3' end, to which the tRNAs corresponding amino acid is attached (by aminoacyl-tRNA synthetases). tRNAs cope with the degeneracy of the genetic code in two manners: having more than one tRNA (with a specific anti-codon) for a particular amino acid; and 'wobble' base-pairing, i.e. permitting non-standard base-pairing at the 3rd anti-codon position. The record is from RNAcentral. Lineage: Eukaryota; Metazoa; Chordata; Lepidosauria; Squamata; Xenopeltidae.